UACGUAGGGUGCAAGCGUUGUCCGGAAUUAUUGGGCGUAAAGAGCUCGUAGGCGGUCUGUCACGUCGGCUGUGAAAACCCGAGGCUCAACCUCGGGCCUGCAGUCGAUACGGGCAGACUAGAGUUCGGUAGGGGAGACUGGAAUUCCUGGUGUAGCGGUGAAAUGCGUAGAUAUCGGAAGGAACAUCAGUGGCGAAAGCGGCUUCCUGGACCAGAACUGACGAUCAGGCUCGAAAGCGUGGGGAGCAAACAGG
RNAcentral lists this ribosomal RNA (253 nucleotides) under uncultured bacterium. Its description in RNAcentral is "partial 16S ribosomal RNA". It matches the Rfam family "Bacterial small subunit ribosomal RNA", at positions 524 to 776 of the family's 1533-position model. The record is from RNAcentral.